This is a long non-coding RNA of Priapulus caudatus, 417 nucleotides long. RefSeq lists it as uncharacterized. The transcript has 2 exons. The record is from RefSeq and is a predicted model, not a curated record. Lineage: Eukaryota; Metazoa; Priapulida; Priapulimorpha; Priapulimorphida; Priapulidae.
UUCUUGCAGAAAAGCGGUGGUGGCUGUGACGUUGACGCAGGCUGGAUGGUCAUUCUUGAUCCACUAAACCCGGAUAGUCGUGAUUCGUGUGUGUGGGACCAAGUGAAGCUCGCAGCGCGUCCAGUCUUCCGCUAUUGCCCCAAUGCGAGCAAUUGCAAAAACAAUGAAUACGUUGCUGCCGACACAUUUCUGAUUUUGGUGCAGCGUGCCUAAUACAGGACUACACGGCAGCCUGGCAGAUAUCAUAGGAAAGCCACGGCACGUCGUCUACUACAGCACUGAUUGUGUAGGACGCACCCAGCACGCAGGGUUCUACAAAUGCGACUUCUAACCCAUAUUCACCACUGCUGACAGUUAUGUCUGGUUUCAGAAUACCGGUAUAUAAUAAAAAUUAAUAUCUUAAUAGUUUAACAUUCA